This 383-nucleotide ribosomal RNA is filed under the name uncultured eukaryote. RNAcentral describes it as "partial 18S ribosomal RNA". It matches the Rfam family "Eukaryotic small subunit ribosomal RNA", at positions 592 to 976 of the family's 1831-position model. The record is from RNAcentral.
CAAUAGCGUAUAUUAAAGUUGUUGCAGUUAAAAAGCUCGUAGUUGGAUUUCUGGUGGGAGCGAUCGGUCUGGCGCUUAGCGCGAGUACUUGCAUCGUCUCCGGCCAUCCUUGGGGAGAGUCUGUCUGGCAUUAGGUUGUCGGGCAGAGGAUCCUCAUCGUUUACUGUGAAAAAAUUUGAGUGUUCAAAGCAGGCUUAUGCCGUUGAAUAUAUUAGCAUGGAAUAAUAAGAUAGGACUUUGGUACUAUUUUGUUGGUUUGCGCACCAAAGUAAUGAUUAAUAGGGACAGUUGGGGGUAUUCGUAUUCCGUUGUCAGAGGUGAAAUUCUUGGAUUUACGGAAGACGAACUACUGCGAAAGCAUUUACCAAGGAUGUUUUCAUUAA